AGUGAACGCUGGCGGUAGGCCUAACACAUGCAAGUCGAACAGCAGCACAGUAAGAGCUUGCUCUUACGGGUGGCGAGUGGCGGACGGGUGAGGAAUACAUCGGAAUCUACUUUUUCGUGGGGUAUAACGUAGGGAAACUUACGCUAAUACCGCAUACGACCUACGGGUGAAAGCAGUGGAUCUUCGGACCUUGCGCGAUUGAAUGAGCCGAUGUCGGAUUAGCUAGUUGGCGGGGUAAAGGCCCACCAAGGCGACGAUCCGUAGCUGGUCUGAGAGGAUGAUCAGCCACACUGGAACUGAGACACGGUCCAGACUCCCACGGGAGGCAGCCGUGGGGAAUAUUGGACAAUGGGCGCAAGCCUGAUCCAGCCCUACCGCGUGGGUGAAGAAGGCCUUCGGGUUGUAAAGCCCUUUUGUUGGGAAAGAAAAGCAGCAGGUUAAUACCCCGCUGUUCUGACGGUACCCAAAGAAUAAGCACCGGCUAACUUCGUG
Molecule: ribosomal RNA, 492 nt
Filed under: uncultured bacterium
Lineage: Bacteria
Description: partial 16S ribosomal RNA
Rfam family: Bacterial small subunit ribosomal RNA
Source: RNAcentral